Bombus huntii is the source of this 4522-nucleotide long non-coding RNA. RefSeq lists it as uncharacterized. The transcript is spliced from 11 exons. NCBI's taxonomy places the organism in Eukaryota, Metazoa, Arthropoda, Insecta, Hymenoptera, Apidae. The record is from RefSeq and is a predicted model, not a curated record.
CGAGAUCGAGAAAAUGUAUCGGCAAUUCCUCGUACGACCAGAGGAUCGGAAAUAUCAAAGGAUAUUAUGGCGCAGCGCGAGUGGAGAAACAGAAACAUAUGAGCUUAACACCGUAAUACUCUUAUCAUAGAAAUAGAAGCAGUCCUCAAUUCCCGCCCGCUAACUCCUAUCUCCACCGAUCCAAAUGAUCUCCUAGCCCUCACUCCCGGACAUUUCCUCAUUGGCGAUUCAUUAAUGUGCUUACGUGAUCGAGAUUUCAGAGACAUUCCAUCGAACCGACUCUCCAAAUGGCAGCAUAUCCAACAGCUUAAACAACAUUUUUGGAACCGCUGGCAUAAGGAGUAUUUGAACGAGCUAACCAACCGCAAUAAAUGGAGCAAGGGUGGACACAGCAUCCAAAAGGGCACAAUCGUCAUCCUCAGAGAGGACAACGUUCCCUCCAUGCAUUGGCCUCUGGGCCGAGUUAUCAAGGUUCAUUCAGGCGCCGAUGGUGUCAUCCGGACAGCUACAGUUCAGACGGCAAAGAGCAUUUUGGAUCGGGGCGUCAAAAGGCUUGUCCCACUGCCAAUUCAACCCGAUCUCGAGAAACCCGAACAACUAGCCACCGAGCCGAAAUAAGAUGGGAACUUCAACCACACCUCGCUAGUUUGAUCGGUACCCUCUCAACGGGGGGAGAAUGUUACGCCAUGCGGCUUACCAUAGGUCAUAUUCUUAACUAUCGAUCGCGGCACUAUAAUGUCGCAGACGGAUCGUCGCGUCUGCCCGGCAAACAAACAUUGUAGUGGCAAGCGCAUGGUUCAUUAAGCAGGGCGACUUCCAGAAACGUCGACUCGUGGCCCGUAUUUUACCUCGCAGUAAAAGAAUGUGGCGUGAUCCGAACGUAGUGGGGGUCGCCUUCCAGAAAAAACGAAAAAAAUCGAAAGGCGUUCAGAACUUUUCGAGAAGUCGAACCGUCAACACAUGUGGGCAAUCCGGUGGACUUGAUCGGCUUUUUACUUCGAAAGUUGAGUAAUCGGUGUCGCUUUCUUACGCAUCUUUGAACUGUAUAAAUGUUUUAAAAUUGUUUGAUCCAGAAUGUACCACACCGGACAAUCAAGAAGGCAGGUGCCUUGACUACAGAAAAUGUAAACCUCUGCAAGAAAUAUGGCAGAUACAGUACCGUACAGCCACCGAUUUUUAUAGACGAUCAGUGUGCAGAUACCAGGUCAAUGUUACGAUCGUUUGCUGUCCGAACGAUCCAAACAAAGAGAAGAGAGAAAUUUUAAUAAAAACUGUGUAUAAGUAUAAGGCUUUGCGACCACCAUACUGUGGUUUUAGCAACGUCUCUCAUACCAGGGUGGUCGAUGGUAAACCAGCUGAACUUGGCGCUUGGCCAUGGAUCGCUGCAUUAGGUUUUCGUAAUCCCCGAAACCCAGACAAACCACUAUGGAAGUGCGGAGGUUCCCUGAUAUCGGCUAGGCAUGUUUUGACCGCAGCACAUUGUGCACAUAUGGAUGGAAUAGAAAACAUACACAAUCAUAAUAUUGCCAUUCUUAGAUAGGUGGAGGAGGUGCCAUUUUCGAGUAAGUCCUCAAAUAUAUAUAUAUAUAUGCUAUUGAGUAUUACUGAAGUAUCAUAUCCUGAAAUUUCUUACUGUACACAUAUAUUGUGUCAUAAAGCGUGUACAAUUCUUUCUCAUACUUUUGGUCAUUCGUUUCCUGCAUUUUCAUUUAUUUUUUUAUUUUUCAGGGUACGUAUAUCCCAUUUGUACGAAAGAGCAACUUCGUCGGCUAUAACCCCCUUGUUGCUGGAUGGGGAGCGUUAAGAUAUAGCAAGUGAUAUCAAUUUUAUAAUAAAAUUAAACAGUUCCAGUCUUAAAUAUCUUUCUCAUUUUCUUCGUAGGACGACCACGACCUAAUGCAUUAAUGGAAGUACAAAUGCCAGUGAUUAAGAACGCCGAAUGCAAAAUAGCUUAUUCCAAAUUUCCUAAUGCACCUGAUAUCACUGAUGGUAUAAUAUGCGCCGAACAUGCUCAGGGUGGAGAGGAUUCUUGUACGGUAUUGUGUCUUAUGCUUAUAAGUGUGGCACAGCUGGGUAUCCCAGCGUUUACACUAGGGUCACAUCGUACCUUGACUUCAUUCUCCAAGCGAUGCAAUAAUAUGAUAUUACUGUUCCAUAAAUAUCAUUGUGUAAAAAACGUAAAGUUGGAUUUUCUUAUUGUGGAGAUAAGAAACAGCUCAAAUUUACAUUGUUUUGUACGUUACAAAUUAUAGGCUUAAAAUGUACGAAAUGUAACUUUGAAACGACACUAAUUUUUUACGCACGAUAAACCUCCACGACUUAGAUUAUAGAUUCCUAUACGACUCUCAGUAAAAAUUUAUCCGCACUCCAGAUAUAUAAAACUUCUGUCGACCGUAUUGAUCCAUCUGCACUCUUCGUAUGACGUCAAUAUCUGUUCAGUGCUGCUGCGCAGGUUUCUUUGUGUUACGUCAAUUCGUUUGUGACCGUUGCGCGAGUAAUGGCGCUUUGCAAUGGUGAUUUGCAGGAAAACAGUGCAGGAUGCUGUGAUUCGUUUCUUGUGGUCGGAGGUUAUGUUUGAUGCCUAUAUUUAUCAAAGAUUUAAUGCACAUUAUGGAGAAAGUGUUUUGUCACGAAGUGUGUUUGAAUGGGCACAAAAGUUCAAAGAAGAUCGCACAAGUGUUAUGAAAAAACAGCUGGACGCCCGUCCACAUCCACGAUGACAACAUUGAACGUGCUCAUGAACUUAUGCUCUAUGGAAUAGACGAGUGACACUGGAUAAUGUGGCAAAUCAUUUGCAAAUCAGCCACGGCUCUGCUUAUGCAAUAGUGCACGACAGAUUUGGAUUUUAAAAAGUUUGUGCGAGAUGGAUGCCGAAAAAGCUGAUGAAAAGGUGAAGACGACGAUGCAUUCGUGGUUCGCAGCUCAGCCCAAAACAUUUUUUAAUGAGAAAAUAUAAAGGUCCUUCGGCAAAUGGACAAAGUGUAUACAGAAAUCGAGUGAUUAUGUCAAAAAAUGAUGUAUGUCUUUUUUGACAAUUGCUUAAAAUAAAUUCUACACCGACAGAGCGGGCUGUUAAUCUAGAGGCUGGAGUACAAAGAAGUGGCACAAUGAUGUGGGCUGAUGACAUUUAUAAUUAUCAAGGAAUCACCCCUACAUUCGCUCAGAAUUUUAAUGAAACUGUCCCUUGGGAAGGAAGAACUGAUACCUUGAUAUCACGGUUUGUACAUCCUAUAUAUACGACAAAUUUUAGAACAUUAUAUAACGAAGAACCAGAUCGUCGUGGCCAUGUGAUGUGAAUAAAAGGACUUGAAUUUGAUGAUAUUUUUAUAAUGUUAGAUAACAUAACUAAGUAUCUUCACAGUAAGAUAGGAUGACAUGGUUUACAUGAUCUUAAUGUUGUUCACUCGAGUGAUGAUAUUAUAAGGAAAAGUGUAAUAUCACAGGAUAUUUAUGUUUAGUAACCAGUAAUUCAGAGAUUGGUAUUCAUGGUUACUAUAACGAGGCUGUAGAAACGCACCCUUUCUUCUUUGCAAAUGGUCCUGUAUUUAUGUCUAAGCCGAAACUGGAACCUCUGAAUAAUUUAGAUUUAUUCUUGUUAUUUUCUAAAAUACUUAUCUACAGUAUACCAUAAGGAAUGAUACCGUAUCGCACCUAAUCAAGUGCCUUAAGAAACAUCAACAGGAUAUCACAGUAAUCCCUUAUCGACUGAUAUUUGUAGCCACUACAAUAUCUAUGACACUGGUAGUAAUUAUGAGAACAAUAAUGAUGUGUUCUAUAAGAGGAAAUGAUGAUUAGGAACAAAAACUUACAGGAGAUAUCAUGCGGUGGAUGGAUAAUAUGUAAAAAAUAUUAAGCAGCAUAUGAAUUUUCAUAUUGCGUAGAGAUAACAAAAUGAAUUUUAAAAAAUGUCGACACGAUUGAACAAUAUUCCAGAUUUAUUCAUAAUUUCAUACUACGCGAAGAAUAGACUUUCAUAGGUAUAUAAAGGAAAUAUUAAGUAUAGGAAAACUCUUUUUCGUUGUAGGUGACAUAUGCUUCACGGUUGAACACAUGUAUUUUUGAACACAUAUAAAUGAAGAAGUACUCUUAUGGAGAAAAAGAAUUGAUACCUUCGAUUGACAUUAGAUAAUGUAUAUAAACUUAUGAACAAUCACUAUCAGUUUGUAUUUUAGGUGCACACGCAGAUUUGUUGGAGUUCUUAUAAAAUGUACUUCCUGUACGAACGUUUUAUUCUUCCAAAUUUUACGAUACUAUGUCUCAUAUAAUAACUAUAUGGAUUAAACGUAAUAUAAAUGAUCCGAAAAUAGACUCGAACGACAUUAAUUGUCUUUCUAUUUAUACCAAUAUCGAUAAUACAAGUAAAGCUGGAGCAAUAGUAUGCAAGAAUGGACUAUUUAUUAUUUUAAACCAAAUCAUAGCAUAUUCAGAAUGCACAGUAUUAUCAUGAAAUGUAAAUGAAUCAGUUGUAAACGAACGAUUUUACUGUAAAAUCAUUGCCACCUUUUUUUCAUCUGAAAUAUAG